This 282-nucleotide ribosomal RNA is filed under the name uncultured bacterium. Its description in RNAcentral is "partial 16S ribosomal RNA". It matches the Rfam family "Bacterial small subunit ribosomal RNA", at positions 335 to 632 of the family's 1533-position model. The record is from RNAcentral.
UACCCUACGGGGGGCAGCAGUGGGGAAUAUUGGGCAAUGGGCGCAAGCCUGACCCAGCAACGCCGCGUGAAGGAAGAAGGCUUUCGGGUUGUAAACUUCUUUUAAGAGGGAAGAGAAGAAGACGGUACCUCUUGAAUAAGCCACGGCUAACUACGUGCCAGCAGCCGCGGUAAUACGUAGGUGGCAAGCGUUAUCCGGAUUUACUGGGUGUAAAGGGCGUGUAGGCGGGAAAGCAAGUCAGAUGUGAAAACCAUGGGAUCAACCUGUGGCCUGCAUUUGAAA